CUAGUAUUUUCUUUAUCCGAAAAUAUUUGUCAUCAAAAUGAAUAAAAUGAGAUGUAUUUAGAUGUAUUUUAAUUCUAGAUACAUCUCUUUUUAUUUAUUUUAAGGACAAGUAUUUCUGGACGAAGAGAGUAACGG
Non-coding RNA from Triticum urartu, 135 nucleotides. The record is from Rfam. NCBI's taxonomy places the organism in Eukaryota, Viridiplantae, Streptophyta, Magnoliopsida, Poales, Poaceae.